GGGUUGUGAGGUUAAGCGACUAAGCGUACACGGUGGAUGCCCUGGCAGUCAGAGGCGAUGAAGGACGUGCUAAUCUGCGAUAAGCGUCGGUAAGGUGAUAUGAACCGUUAUAACCGGCGAUUUCCGAAUGGGGAAACCCAGUGUGUUUCGACACACUAUCAUUAACUGAAUCCAUAGGUUAAUGAGGCGAACCGGGGGAACUGAAACAUCUAAGUACCCCGAGGAAAAGAAAUCAACCGAGAUUCCCCCAGUAGCGGCGAGCGAACGGGGAGGAGCCCAGAGCC
RNAcentral lists this ribosomal RNA (284 nucleotides) under Escherichia coli. RNAcentral describes it as "partial 23S ribosomal RNA". It matches the Rfam family "Bacterial large subunit ribosomal RNA", at positions 1 to 276 of the family's 2925-position model. Lineage: Bacteria; Pseudomonadati; Pseudomonadota; Gammaproteobacteria; Enterobacterales; Enterobacteriaceae. The record is from RNAcentral.